This 2239-nucleotide ribosomal RNA is filed under the name Escherichia coli. Its description in RNAcentral is "partial 23S ribosomal RNA". It matches the Rfam family "Bacterial large subunit ribosomal RNA", at positions 574 to 2798 of the family's 2925-position model. The record is from RNAcentral. Lineage: Bacteria; Pseudomonadati; Pseudomonadota; Gammaproteobacteria; Enterobacterales; Enterobacteriaceae.
UGGGAGCACGCUUAGGCGUGUGACUGCGUACCUUUUGUAUAAUGGGUCAGCGACUUAUAUUCUGUAGCAAGGUUAACCGAAUAGGGGAGCCGAAGGGAAACCGAGUCUUAACUGGGCGUUAAGUUGCAGGGUAUAGACCCGAAACCCGGUGAUCUAGCCAUGGGCAGGUUGAAGGUUGGGUAACACUAACUGGAGGACCGAACCGACUAAUGUUGAAAAAUUAGCGGAUGACUUGUGGCUGGGGGUGAAAGGCCAAUCAAACCGGGAGAUAGCUGGUUCUCCCCGAAAGCUAUUUAGGUAGCGCCUCGUGAAUUCAUCUCCGGGGGUAGAGCACUGUUUCGGCAAGGGGGUCAUCCCGACUUACCAACCCGAUGCAAACUGCGAAUACCGGAGAAUGUUAUCACGGGAGACACACGGCGGGUGCUAACGUCCGUCGUGAAGAGGGAAACAACCCAGACCGCCAGCUAAGGUCCCAAAGUCAUGGUUAAGUGGGAAACGAUGUGGGAAGGCCCAGACAGCCAGGAUGUUGGCUUAGAAGCAGCCAUCAUUUAAAGAAAGCGUAAUAGCUCACUGGUCGAGUCGGCCUGCGCGGAAGAUGUAACGGGGCUAAACCAUGCACCGAAGCUGCGGCAGCGACGCUUAUGCGUUGUUGGGUAGGGGAGCGUUCUGUAAGCCUGUGAAGGUGUGCUGUGAGGCAUGCUGGAGGUAUCAGAAGUGCGAAUGCUGACAUAAGUAACGAUAAAGCGGGUGAAAAGCCCGCUCGCCGGAAGACCAAGGGUUCCUGUCCAACGUUAAUCGGGGCAGGGUGAGUCGACCCCUAAGGCGAGGCCGAAAGGCGUAGUCGAUGGGAAACAGGUUAAUAUUCCUGUACUUGGUGUUACUGCGAAGGGGGGACGGAGAAGGCUAUGUUGGCCGGGCGACGGUUGUCCCGGUUUAAGCGUGUAGGCUGGUUUUCCAGGCAAAUCCGGAAAAUCAAGGCUGAGGCGUGAUGACGAGGCACUACGGUGCUGAAGCAACAAAUGCCCUGCUUCCAGGAAAAGCCUCUAAGCAUCAGGUAACAUCAAAUCGUACCCCAAACCGACACAGGUGGUCAGGUAGAGAAUACCAAGGCGCUUGAGAGAACUCGGGUGAAGGAACUAGGCAAAAUGGUGCCGUAACUUCGGGAGAAGGCACGCUGAUAUGUAGGUGAAGUCCCUCGCGGAUGGAGCUGAAAUCAGUCGAAGAUACCAGCUGGCUGCAACUGUUUAUUAAAAACACAGCACUGUGCAAACACGAAAGUGGACGUAUACGGUGUGACGCCUGCCCGGUGCCGGAAGGUUAAUUGAUGGGGUCAGCGCAAGCGAAGCUCUUGAUCGAAGCCCCGGUAAACGGCGGCCGUAACUAUAACGGUCCUAAGGUAGCGAAAUUCCUUGUCGGGUAAGUUCCGACCUGCACGAAUGGCGUAAUGAUGGCCAGGCUGUCUCCACCCGAGACUCAGUGAAAUUGAACUCGCUGUGAAGAUGCAGUGUACCCGCGGCAAGACGGAAAGACCCCGUGAACCUUUACUAUAGCUUGACACUGAACAUUGAGCCUUGAUGUGUAGGAUAGGUGGGAGGCUUAGAAGUGUGGACGCCAGUCUGCAUGGAGCCGACCUUGAAAUACCACCCUUUAAUGUUUGAUGUUCUAACGUUGACCCGUAAUCCGGGUUGCGGACAGUGUCUGGUGGGUAGUUUGACUGGGGCGGUCUCCUCCUAAAGAGUAACGGAGGAGCACGAAGGUUGGCUAAUCCUGGUCGGACAUCAGGAGGUUAGUGCAAUGGCAUAAGCCAGCUUGACUGCGAGCGUGACGGCGCGAGCAGGUGCGAAAGCAGGUCAUAGUGAUCCGGUGGUUCUGAAUGGAAGGGCCAUCGCUCAACGGAUAAAAGGUACUCCGGGGAUAACAGGCUGAUACCGCCCAAGAGUUCAUAUCGACGGCGGUGUUUGGCACCUCGAUGUCGGCUCAUCACAUCCUGGGGCUGAAGUAGGUCCCAAGGGUAUGGCUGUUCGCCAUUUAAAGUGGUACGCGAGCUGGGUUUAGAACGUCGUGAGACAGUUCGGUCCCUAUCUGCCGUGGGCGCUGGAGAACUGAGGGGGGCUGCUCCUAGUACGAGAGGACCGGAGUGGACGCAUCACUGGUGUUCGGGUUGUCAUGCCAAUGGCACUGCCCGGUAGCUAAAUGCGGAAGAGAUAAGUGCUGAAAGCAUCUAAGCACGAAACUUGCC